Antechinus flavipes (yellow-footed antechinus) is the source of this 8366-nucleotide long non-coding RNA. RefSeq lists it as uncharacterized. Lineage: Eukaryota; Metazoa; Chordata; Mammalia; Dasyuromorphia; Dasyuridae. The transcript has 3 exons. The record is from RefSeq and is a predicted model, not a curated record.
GAUAUAAAUGUUUAAAGCAGUUCUCUUCUCAGAGCAAAGAAUUGGAAAUUGAAGAAAUGCCCAUCAAUUGGGGAAUACCUGAGUAAAUUGUGGUAUAUGAUUAUGAUAGAAUAUUAUUGUUCUAUGGGAAAUGAUGAGUAGGAUGCUCUCAGAAAAACCUGGAAAGUCCUUCAUGAACUCAAAGUGAUAUAUACUGUGUACAAAAUAAUAGCAAUGUUGUGAGAUGAUCAGCUAUGAAUGACUGCUAUCCUCAGUAAUGAUCCACAACUACUUUAAGGGAUUGAUGAUGAAAAAUGCUAUCCAUACCUAGAGAAAGAACUGAAUAUAUCUGAAUACAGACUGAAACAUAAUUUAAUUUUUUUUUCUAGAGGAUUUCUUUUUUUGGUGGGGGAGAUCUAUGUUUUCUUUUGCAACAUGACUUUUUUGGCAAUAUUUUUCAUAACUUUACACAUGUCCUCUUAAUGGGAGGUGAGGGUGGGGAGAGAUUCAAAGUUUACCAAAAAAAUACUAAAAUUUGUUUUACAUAUAACUGGAUAAAAUAAAAAUAUAUAAAUUAUAUAUGAACUUGUCCUCUCUUGGCAAAUUGAAGGUAAGGGUCUCCAAGUCUUCACAAAAUUUUCCUUUGAUAUCAUCUGGGUUUGGUGGGAGGAUAAACACUGAUUUUGGUGAUGUGGCCUUUCCCUGCAAGAAGCAAUCACAUUGUCAGGAGCCUGUUAUUUGUUCUUUUUAGUAAGCAUACAAGCUUGUUGACUCGAUGAGUUUUGAUUGCCAAACCUAUGUCAGCUUCAUGGUUCUCCCCUGCACUGUAGCAACUCCAGAAAAAUGUGCAUCCAGCUCUGACUUCAGUAAGCUAGCCUUCAUUUUCCAAUCUCAUUUCACUCAGGGUUUCUCUUUGGAUGUGAGAACUGCUGAAUUCUCUUACAACAAGAACUGUUCAUCUUUCAGGUCUGCUGGAUUUUGUGUUAUCCAUGAGUAUUCACACAUUCCAUGUACUGAUGGUAAGUAAAAUCACUUUUGCAGAAUUUUUGUGUAUUUGUGUGUGUGUCUGUAUGUGUGUGCGUGUGCGUUUUUAUAGCAGAGUAGAAUAUCACUGGCUCUGGUGAACAUGCCAAGGUUGGGCAAAUAGACAACAUUAGGGCACCAUUUCUAGCCCUUUCCUCACACCAGGACAGGAACACUGUGGCCCUUAAAUGGCAGUUUCAUAUACCCAGGGAGCUGAAUCCCACGGCUGCUUGCCUGGGCUGAGUGUGUGUAAAGUGGUGUCUCUGGCUCCAAUUACAUCUGCACCUAUUGCAUGAUCACUUAUCGGCUGCCACAGGACUUUGAGAAAUGGUCACAUGGUCUGGAUGAUGUCUUCUGACCCAGGCACAAGCUGGAUUUCAGUGGGCCAGGUUUGCGCAGAGUUGUCACAGUGCAGUAGCAGGACACAGUUAAGACACCUGGCCAUGGCUCCAGGUGCAGUGGAUGACCUUGACAUCUUUGAUAGCUAACCAAGUUCUAAGCACUCCACAGCACCGGCUGCAGCGCAUUUAUGGCCCCUGGAGCAGAUUGUCCUCAUCCACCCAUCCCACCGGAGUAAGUCUUCACUUCUUGGGGGAGACGUCUCCUAACUCACCAACGAGUUUGAGAUUUUUGGCUUACCCUGAACCUGAUUUAGCCUGUCCCCCACAAGGGCUUACUGGGCUGUGGCCACUGUCUGCUCCGGCCUCGCGGAGUCACAGAUGAGAGACAGGUGGAGGUCCUAGUCUUACAGCCCCAAAUCCCCAACAAUUCUGAUCCAAUCUCCUUCAAUCUCUGUUAGAGUUCCUUAUCACGCGGCGCUGAUGCCCAAUGUUGAGAGCAUUUGGCCUUAAGGUCUGGCCUGCUUGUAGAGGGUCGAAGCUCCGAACAGGAGACGGCACCGCAAUUUUCCGAGAGCCAGUUUCUCAGAGAACAGGAUUCCCCACUUUCCCUUACUCUGGCGCCGCAGUUUUAUCAGGAUGCUCUUUCUGCUCGGAAGGAGAAAGGGCUGAGUCUUGCAGGAAAGGAGGGGCUGGAGGCGCUGGGGGAGGAGCGAUGACCAGCCCGGUGGGGGGUGGCCCAGGUGGAGCGCGAGCACGGGGCGGAGUUUAGAGGAAUGGGCGGAGUUUAGGUCGGAAGAGACCAUUGUGUGGAGGGGGCAGACUUUAGGGAGAAGAAGUUGUGACAGUCCUUAAGUCCCUCCCUGGGUGACUGAAGGAAAGGGCUCAAGCAACCUAGGGGCUUCAGCGGUUAGACAGGGAGACAUCCACCCCCUCCCAGCGGUCCGGAAGCAGGAAGUCUCUGAGCUGAGAUCGAAAGCAGGAAGCCUCUGACCCGGGAUUGCUCUACCUUUUCUGCGAGCCGAGACCCCUCUGCCUUCCCUGGAGCCGAGACCCCUCUGCCUUCUGGAAGCCAGAAUCGUGCUUGCAAGUCCCAGGGAGCCUGGAGCCAGAGGAAUGGGCCCUGGGAGCCUCAGACCUACUCCUCAGACCUCCUCAUCACCACUGACCAAUGAGGUCCACCACUUCAUCAUGAAUCUCUAUUCCAUGGGGACCAGGUCUGCUCUCUUUGGGCCUGCCUAGCAUCCCUCUCCCCACAAAGUCUCUCCUCUUGGUCUCCUGUGGUCAAGCUUCCCUGAAGCUCCUGGACAACCCUUCACACACAGUUUUGUCUGGACAGGGCAGGAGCAGAGCCUUGAAGGCUUUCCCAGCUCUAGUCCUGUGCAGUGUGGUCAUUAGAGCAGAAACUGUCCUCAUGGGGCUGCUCAGGUCCUUCUGCCUAGGGUCACCCAAGCCUUCUCAGCCUCCCUGAAUCCCUCCCCUUAACCAUUCUUUGGGCCCAGCCAAUAAGCAUUGAGAAAGGCCCUAGGUACAAGCCCCAGAGUUGUAGUACGGAAAGCUCUGGACCAUUCUGCUGUUCUGGUGCUUCUAAGAUCUACCCUGGCACAGGCACUGAUCUCUAUUGUCUAAAAGAGCCCCCAGGAUUCGCAUCCUUGCUUUUGUUGUUCCUGACCCCCAAGUUACUAUACAAACUGGCUUCCUAAUGGUAAUAGGGAGAAAAAGAAGGGUUGAAAGAGUCACAUUAGAGUGUCAUGAUACUUCAAACAGUUUCUUAGAAAGUAUGACUCUGCCACAGGCUGCAGCAGGGUUGACCCAGAAGGAUAUAAUGGCUGGAACUGACUCAAGCCAAUGCUCCCUUUAAAUGUUCAGCAAAAAGCAGACACUCCUAGGUCAUUCCACAAGUAAAAGGAACUUUACUUAAAAUAAAAAGGGCAUUCACUAAAGAUACUAGAGUCCUUUAGCUUGAGUCAACAAGGCUUCUCUUGGUUCCAUGUAGGAGCUCAAUUGGUCAACAGAGCAGGGUGUAGCAAUGUGCCAUCUUUGGAAAUCUGUCAUAUCUGAAGGACCCUGAUUUCACAUGGGUGGAUCUUUAGCCCCUAAGGUUUCCGGGAAACCACUUUAAUUUGUCCAGAGGUCCUCAGAAUACUGCUUGAAGGGAGGCACAUGGAGCCUUUGCCCAUUAUGGAAGUCUGGUACUGGGGCAGCUUUGUUAUCUAUCAGAUAAAAAAAAAAAAAAACUGACCUCACCAUGUGGCAGAAGGACAGAACUCUAGGAGAUGGUGCACUUUCACCAAGGCUGAGAAGCUCAACGGGAAGGGUGCAACCUUUGACAAUCAUUAGUCAACUUGAGUUGAAGACUGGCUGAAGGAAGAAAACUACCAUUUAUUAUGAAGAACCUACUAAGUCCUAGUUGGUCAUUAUGCUAAAUGAGUUCAAUGCAGUAGUAUUCAUUACCUUUAUAGAAUUAACUUAUUCAUCAAUUCCCCAUUUAUAAGUAAUCCCUCAGAUUAUCUUUGUCACCUUGAAAAGAAAUAUAUACAUGUGAUAUGUGUAUCUAUCUAUCUAUCUAUCUAUAUAUAUAUUUAUAUAUAUCCUUUGAAUUUGUUUUGCUUAGGACUGAUCCCUCCCUUAAUUUAUCCUCUCACCAAUUUCCCCUCCCCUUUCCUUCCUUUUCACUGGUAAGUAAAAUGCAUUUUUCCAACCAGCUCUGUGUUGUGUGUAUUCUUCCUUCCUUUACUAGAUAACAGAGGUUCAGACAUCAAAUGUGCUCACCCAUUCCCUCCUCAUAUUAUGAAUAAACAAGGAUGGUUUGAGCUCUUUAGCUGUGGUUAUUUUUUUAAUUCCUUUCUCUUGUCUUUUUACUAUUGGUAGCAUUUCCACAAGAGUGAAAGAAUAAUAAUCCUUGCUUCACUCCUGCAUUUAUUGGGAAAGAUUCUAAUGUAACCCCAGUUCAUGUGAUACUUUUGGUUUCAGAUGUUCUGUAACCAAAACAUUCUCUUUAUUGAAAUGACUGUGACUGUGGUUUUGAUGUUUUGGUUUAGAAAGUGAUUAUGUUUAUUGUUUUCCAAAUGUUCAAUUACUCUUGCAUCCCUGGUAAAAAUUCCACUUGAUCAUAAUGGAUGAUUUCUUGAACAAUUAACUGUAGCCAUUUUGAUAGGACUUUAUUUAAAACUGGAGGGAGGGGACAAUGUUCAUUCAUUGGCUUGUACAGUUUACUUUCUCUGUUCAGACUUUCCUUGGAUUCAGCAUUAGGUCUAUGUUUUUCUUAUAAAAGGAUUUUGAUAGGAUAUUUUCUUAUUUGGGGGGAAUUAGUGAUAAAAUAUGAUAUGAAUUUGAAAGAAUUUCCCUGUCUUCUGAAAUAUUUCAUGUUUUUAGAGGUAGUCCUCUUUGAGCUUACUUUUCUCAUUUGUUUAUCCUUUUUUAUUUUUUCUAGUUUUAUUGUUUUUUACCUUUGUCAUUUGGUAUUUUAUUGCCUGGAUUUUCUCCUCUCUUUUAAUCAGAUUAGCCAAAGGUUUUCUCAACUUUAUUAGUCAUUUCAAAAAAGCCAGUUUUAAUUUUAUUUCUCCUUUUUAUUUUUUAUUCCCAAUUAAUCUAUUUCCCUUCUGAUUUUAAUAAUUUGUCAUUUGAACUUAAUUUAGGUUUGGUCGUUUAUUUUUUUUCUAUUUUUUAGAAUGCAUAUUUAAUGUUCUCUUUUCCUAUAUUUUUUUUUUCUUGAGGCAAUGGGGGUUACUUGCCUAGGGUUACAUAACUAGAAAGUGUUAAGCGUCUGAGAUCAGAUUUGAACUGAGGUCCUCAUGAUUUCAGAUCUGGUGCUUAAUCCACUGUGCCAUUUAGCUGCCCCUUUCUAUAAUAUGAUUGUGAAGUUAUAUUUUCCCCUGAGGACUGCUUUAGCUGAGUCACAGAAAUUUUGGGAUAUCAUUUAAUCAUUCUCAUUUUCUUUUGCAAAGUUAUCAUUUCUGAGAUUUGUCCUCUGAUUCAGUCAUUAUUUAUUAUGUCACUAUUAAAUCUCCAUUUGGGUUUGUAUCUUUUGUUGGUGAUCCCUGAACCAAUUUCUAUUCUUAUUUCAUUAAGACAUGAAAGGAUUUAUUGAUUUUUUUCUGCCUUUUUCACAUUUGUGUCCCAUAUCUCUCUAUCCCAAUGGUUGAUUUUUGUAGAAGUUCCACGUUUUACAAAGAAAUAUAUAUAUUUCUCUGUUGUCCCAUUUAGAUAAUGCCAUAAGUCUUUUACCUUCAGUUUCUCUAGUUGUUUGUUCAUCUGUCCUGCUUUCAUCGCAUUCAACAUUUCUUCAUCCGUCUUUUUCUUUUUGGUUCUCUUGUAGAUUCCCCUUCCUCUCUUGCCCUUCAACUGGUCCUGUUCAUUAGUUUUUUUUUUUUUUUAAUUUCAUGCAUUAGGAUUUUUCUCUCUCUUCUCAUUUUCCAUUUUUUCCUUUUCAUUUUUGCCUAGAUUCUCAUUUUCUGAUUCAUAUCCCCACUAUUCAUCUAGUCUUUCUCUUUUCCCUGUACAUUUCAUAUAGUCAAAGCCUCCAAGGUAUCCAUUCUAAGCUCUGUUCUAUAGGUGCUUUCUGCCAUUGCUUGGAAGCCAACCCCCCCAGAUUCCUCUUUUUCAUUGUUCCUUAUUUUCAGAAUACUGUAUAUCACAGAGAACAGUGCUCCAUAAUAGAGAAAAUCACCUCCUGAUGUUGAAGGAUAAGACACCCUGACAACGUUUGGGGGUCCCCAGGUUGGUGUUGCAGGUAAGAUAAAGGAAUUUGCAGACCCAGCCUCCAAGUUAAGUGGCAAAGGGUUUAUUGAUACUGAGAACAGCAGGCUAGAUUUCAGAUUGAAAUAGCAGAGAGCUAAGGGACAGAGAACAGUUUUAUCCAGCCUCUAUCAUUAGUGUGUAAAUUCUGUGACCCAAGAGUAGGGCUAGGGAGUAUUCUCUGAAUUAGUAGAAGGGUAGUCUCCCGAAAUUUGAUUAUCUCUGACCAGAUCAUCAAUCAGCAAUGGACUGAGAAGUGGCUUUGGAGCUUCCCUUCACAAUAUGUCAGCAAAGAACUGAGAAAUAGUCUAUUCAGAAUCAGACAGAUUGGGCAUGAGAGUUUCCUGAUGCAGACUCCAAAACCAAAAGAUUUAGGAUUUCCUGACAUAGUUAGAACAGAAGCCACCCUAAAAUUAGGGGACAACAAAAUCAUAUUACAUCACUGAUAUUUAUCCUCUCUUGUUAUCCUUUUAUUUUUCUUCCACAUUCUUCUAGAAAUCCCACCCCUGUCUCCAUGUUCUCCUACUCCUCCAAGUGCUGGUAUCCCUCCAUCCCCACUCCCUGCCAAGUAACAACUGCCCCAACUCCAAGACAAGUAGAUUUUUCAGGCAUUAAAUCCCCAAGGCUCAGGGUGAGGUCCCUUAUCUUCUAUAAAAAUAUUCAUCAGUGAAACCCCCUCUUACCUCCAAAGUCAGGAUUCCUUACUUUCUCCAUUUUUUCAGUCUUUUUUCCCUCUCUUCACCUACUCCCCUGUAUGCUCUUCUCUCUCUGAGACCAUGGAGGUCAUUUCAAUCCUCAUUUUCCUUGACCUUUCACCUUUGACACUAUUGAUGACUUCUCUAUGAUACUCUCUUCUCAAAGUUUUAGGACAUGACUUUCUCCUGGCUUUCCUCUUAUGUGACCACUUUUUCUCUGUCUUCAUUCCCGGACUCCUCUUUACUAUGGAAUAUUCACUUUUUUGUCCCUUAUUCUUAAGCCCACAUCUGCAAGAUAGGUCACCCUGGGCUACAUUCUCAGCUCCAAUGCUCUCUGGAACCCAUUCUGUCACUCCUUCCCCUUAUCUACUUGCUUUGAAUUAAUUAGUCUUGUGUUUCCACAAAGUCAGUCAUUUCCCUUGUAUUCAAAGAUCUUUCUCUUCAUGACUUGUAGAACUUGUUGGUUCUAGAUUGAAUUAUUAAAGGGGACUAUUACUAGUGUUAUAAGUUGCAGCCAUGGGUUUUUGCUUUUUUACUCUGUUGGUAAUCUAUGAAUUCUUUCCAUUAGAAUUGCAUUUUCUCUAUUUAGAAAUUAUGGCCAGUUCUCUUUGAUUAUUUCCUUCAUGAUUGUGUCCAUAUUUUCCUCGAAUUGUGUCCUUCUGGGAGAACUGAUCCUUAGAUUGUCUGUGUGCAUGCUAACUUUGAGUUCUGUACACUUCCCUUCAGCAAGGGGCAGAUUUUAUUUGAAUGUUCUUGUUCUUUCCUUCCCUUCUUCUAGGUUCUCUUCCACUUUUGUAUAUUUGAAUUCCUUGUAUAUUUUGUCUUUUGUUUUCUUUGGGGAGACUUGCCGUGGCAGAUUGUAGGUUUUCUAUUCCCUUAGCCUGGAAGUUGAUCAAAAAAAAAAAGAAUACACAAAGGAAAAAACAGAUUAAAAAGGGUUCUGGGUAGGAAGAAGGCAUUCAGGGACUGGAGAAGUCAGUCAGAAAAUCCCCAAAGACGUAGAUCCAAGUGAGAAAUGAAGAGAUAUACGAGGUGAGCUGAUUCAACUCUGCUUUUCUUGGUUGGAAACAGUCUCCCACCAUUCAGUGCAAUGAUGAUUUUUCAUGUUUUCAUGAGAUACAACUUUACUCCAGCUUCUCAAGAAAUAAAAUAUAUCAUUAAUUUUUUUUCUCUUUUAAGUGAUUAUGUGAAAUAAUUCCCACUCAGAAUAUGUUAUACUUGCCUGCUUCUUACAGACUCAUUGGAGCAUUUUCUUGAGUACAUAUGUUUUAUAUCAGUCUUGCUGAGGAAGAGAUUUCCCAGCACCCUUUCUUUCUCUUCCACAGCUCCAUCCACCUCACACAUAAAUCACAAACUUUCUUCCUGCUUCUGCACAGAGAAGUCUUCUCAGUUUUAUUCCACCCGAAUCAUAUAAAAUGUUUUUCUCAAAAUUCAAUAAGAUUCUUAAUAACUAUGGUUUCAAGAGUUUCUGAUUCUCAUAAAAGGGAUGAACUUUGAGUACAUGCCUUUUCUGUGUUUCCGUUUCCUUCUGUAAGUUGAUAAGGGUUAAUGGACUCUUUACUUCUGAAGGGUCUUUCAGCUCCACAUCUUCUGA